UACGGAGGGGGCUAGCGUUGUUCGGAAUUACUGGGCGUAAAGCGCACGUAGGCGGACUGUUAAGUCAGGGGUGAAAUCCCGAGGCUCAACCUCGGAACAGCCUCUGAUACUGGCAGUCUUGAUUCCGAGAGAGGUGAGUGGAAUUCCGAGUGUAGAGGUGAAAUUCGUAGAUAUUCGGAGGAACACCAGUGGCGAAGGCGGCUCACUGGCUCGAUACUGACGCUGAGGUGCGAAAGCGUGGGGAGCAAACAGGAUUAGAUACCCU
Molecule: ribosomal RNA, 265 nt
Filed under: uncultured prokaryote
Description: partial 16S ribosomal RNA
Rfam family: Bacterial small subunit ribosomal RNA
Source: RNAcentral